UACGGAGGGUGCGAGCGUUGUCCGGAAUCACUGGGCGUAAAGGGCGCGUAGGUGGCGCGGGAAGUCAACGGUGAAAGUUCGGGGCUCAACCCUGAAUCGGCCGUCGAUACUCCCGGGCUCGAGCACUGUAGAGGCAGAUGGAAUUCCGGGUGUAGCGGUGGAAUGCGUAGAGAUCCGGAAGAACACCAAUGGCGAAGGCAAUGUUCUGGCUCGUUUCUGACGCUCAGGUGCGAAAGCCAGGGGAGCGAACGGG
This 253-nucleotide ribosomal RNA is filed under the name uncultured bacterium. Its description in RNAcentral is "partial 16S ribosomal RNA". It matches the Rfam family "Bacterial small subunit ribosomal RNA", at positions 524 to 776 of the family's 1533-position model. The record is from RNAcentral.